GUAUUAGCUCUAAGUUCUUUUUGUCCGUUUUUAUGAUCCCCGACUUUGCGUAUUAGCUCUAAGUUCUUUCGGUCCGUUUUUAUGAUCCCCGACUUUGCGUAUUAGCUCUAAGUUCUUUCGGUUUGUUUUUAUGAUCCCUGACUUUGCAUAUUAGCUCUAAGUUCUUUCGGACUGUUUCUAUGAUCCCCGACUUUGCGUAUUAGCUCUAAGUUCUUUCGGUCUGUUUUUAUGAUUCCCGACUUUGCGUAUUAGGUCUAAGUUCUUUCGGUCCGUUUUUAUGAUCCUUAACUUUGCUUAUUAGCUCUAAGUUUUUUUGGUCCGUUUUUAUGAUCCCCAAAUUUGCGUAUUAGCUCUAAGUUCUUUCGGUCCGUUUUUAUGAUCCCCGACUUUGCGUAUUAGCUUUAAGUUCUUUCGGUCCAUUUUUAUGAUCCCCGACUUUGCGAAUUAGCUCUAAGUUCUUUCGGUCCGUUUUUAUGAUCCCCGAAUUUGCGUAUUAGCUCUAAGUUCUUUCGGUCCGUUUUUAUGAUCCCCGACUUUGCGUAUUAGCUCUAAGUUCUAUUGGUCCUUUUUAUGAUCCCCGACUUUACGUAUUAGCUCUAAGUUCUUUCGGUCCGUUUUUAUGAUCCCCGACUUUGCGUAACUCUACGUUCUUUCGGUCCAUUUUUAUGAUCCCCGACUUUGCGUAUUAGCUCUAAGUUCUUUCGGUUAUUUUUAUAAUCUCUAAAUUUUCUAAUUAGCUUUAAGUUUUUUUGGUCCGUUUUUAUGAUCCCCGACUUUGCGUAUUAUCUCUAAGUUCUUUCGGUCCGUUUUUAUGAUCUCCGACUUUGCGUAUUAGCUCUAAGUUCUAUUGGUCCUUUGUAUGAUACCCGACUUUACGUAUUUGCUCUAAGUUCUUUCGGUCCAUUUUUAUGAUCCCCGACUUUGCGUAUUAGCUCUAAGUUCUUUCGGUCCGUUUUUAUGAUCCCCGACUUUACGUAUUAGCUCUAAGUUCUAUUGGUCCUUUGUAUGAUCCCCGAUUUUUCGUAUUAGCUCUAAGUUCUUUCUGUCGUUUUUAUGAUCCCUGACUUUGCGUAUGAGCUCUAAGUUCUUUCGGUUCGUUUUUAUGAUCCCCUACUUUGCGUAUUAGCUUUAAGUUCUUUCGGUCGUUUUUAUGAUCCCUGACUUUGCGUAUUAGCUCUAAGUUCUUUCGGUCCGUUUUUAUGAUCCCCGACUUUACGUAUUAGCUCUAAGUUCUUUCGGUCCAUUUUUAUGAUCCCCGACUUUGCGUAUUAGCUCUAAGUUCUUUUGGUCCAUUUUUAUGAUCUCUGACUUUGCGUUUUAGCUCUAAGUUCUUUCGGUCCGUUUUUAUGAUCCCCGACUUUGCGUAUUAGCUCUAUGUUCUUUUGGUCCGUUUUUAUGAUCCCCGACUUUGCGUAUUAGUUCUAAGUUCUUUUGGUCCAUUUUUAUGAUCCCCAACUGACCGUAUUAGCUCUAAGUUCUUUUGGUCCGUUUUUAUGAUCCCCGACUUUGCG
This 1511-nucleotide long non-coding RNA is filed under the name Capsella rubella. RNAcentral's name for it is "long non-coding RNA (CRUB_LNC000107)". Lineage: Eukaryota; Viridiplantae; Streptophyta; Magnoliopsida; Brassicales; Brassicaceae. The record is from RNAcentral.